CCGAGGACGAACGCUGGCGGCGUGCCUAAGUACAAUGCAAGCGUAGCGAGCAGAACCAGCAGAGUUACUUCGGUAAUGACGCUGGGGACGCGAGCGGCGGAUGGGUGAGUAACACGUGGGGAACCUGCCCCAUAGCCUGGGAUACCACUUGGAAACAGGUAGCUAAUACCGGAUAAGAAAGCAGAUCGCAUGAUCAGCUUAUAAAAGGCGGCGUAAGCUGUCGCUAUGAGAUGGACCCGCGUCAGAUUAGCUAGUUGGCAGGGUAACGGCCUACCAAGGCGACGAUCUGUAGCCGACCUGAGAGGGUGACCGGCCACAUUGGGACUGAGACACGGCCCAAACUCCUACGGGAGGCAGCAGUGGGGAAUAUUGCACAAUGGGGGAAACCCUGAUGCAGCGACGCCGCGUGAGCGAAGAAGUAUUUCGGUAUGUAAAGCUCUAUCAGCAGGGAAAAAGUAAGGAAGAAUUAGCCAAGGUUGAUUCUGACUGGAACAAACAUUUUAUCAGAGAGUUUGAUCCUGGCU
RNAcentral lists this ribosomal RNA (524 nucleotides) under uncultured bacterium. RNAcentral describes it as "bacterial SSU rRNA". It matches the Rfam family "Bacterial small subunit ribosomal RNA", at positions 26 to 483 of the family's 1533-position model. The record is from RNAcentral.